CCUACGGGGGGCAGCAGUGGGGAAUAUUGGACAAUGGGCGAAAGCCUGAUCCAGCCAUGCCGCGUGUGUGAAGAAGGCCUUCGGGUUGUAAAGCACUUUCAGUGGGGAAGAAAGCCUUGGGGCUAAUACCCUCGAGGAAGGACAUCACCCACAGAAGAAGCACCGGCUAACUCCGUGCCAGCAGCCGCGGUAAUACGGAGGGUGCGAGCGUUAAUCGGAAUUACUGGGCGUAAAGCGCGCGUAGGCGGUCUGAUAAGCCGGUUGUGAAAGCCCCGGGCUCAACCUGGGAACGGCAUCCGGAACUGUCAGGCUAGAGUGCAGGAGAGGAAGGUAGAAUUCCCGGUGUAGCGGUGAAAUGCGUAGAGAUCGGGAGGAAUACCAGUGGCGAAGGCGGCCUUCUGGACUGAAACUGACGCUGAGGUGCGAAAGCGUGGGUAGCAAACAGGAUUAGAUACCCCAGUAGUC
Molecule: ribosomal RNA, 465 nt
Filed under: Vreelandella stevensii
Lineage: Bacteria; Pseudomonadati; Pseudomonadota; Gammaproteobacteria; Oceanospirillales; Halomonadaceae
Description: partial 16S ribosomal RNA
Rfam family: Bacterial small subunit ribosomal RNA
Source: RNAcentral